CGUUGCUCGGAAUUACUGGGCGUAAAGCGCACGUAGGCGGAUUGUUAAGUCGGGGGUGAAAUCCUGGAGCUCAACUCCAGAACUGCCUUCGAUACUGGCGAUCUCGAGUUCGGGAGAGGUGAGUGGAACUGCGAGUGUAGAGGUGAAAUUCGUAGAUAUUCGCAAGAACACCAGUGGCGAAGGCGGCUCACUGGCCCGAUACUGACGCUGAGGUGCGAAAGCGUGGGGAGCAAGCAGG
RNAcentral lists this ribosomal RNA (238 nucleotides) under uncultured bacterium. Its description in RNAcentral is "partial 16S ribosomal RNA". It matches the Rfam family "Bacterial small subunit ribosomal RNA", at positions 539 to 776 of the family's 1533-position model. The record is from RNAcentral.